This 460-nucleotide ribosomal RNA is filed under the name uncultured bacterium. Its description in RNAcentral is "partial 16S ribosomal RNA". It matches the Rfam family "Bacterial small subunit ribosomal RNA", at positions 338 to 795 of the family's 1533-position model. The record is from RNAcentral.
CCUACGGGAGGCAGCAGUGAGGAAUAUUGGUCAAUGGGCGGAAGCCUGAACCAGCCAAGUAGCGUGCAGGAUGACGGCCCUACGGGUUGUAAACUGCUUUUAUACGGGAAUAACGCGCCUUACGUGUAGGGCUUUGCAUGUACCGUAUGAAUAAGGACCGGCUAAUUCCGUGCCAGCAGCCGCGGUAAUACGGAAGGUCCGGGCGUUAUGCGGAUUUAUUGGGUUUAAAGGGAGCGUAGGCCGCAUGUCAAGCGUGCUGUGAAAGGUCCGGGCUCAACCCGGGCCUUGACGCGCGAACUGGCGUGCUUGAGUCCGCGGAAGGCAGGCGGAAUUCGUGGUGUAGCGGUGAAAUGCUUAGAUAUGGCGAAGAACCCCGAUUGCGAAGGCAGCUUGCUGCAGCGGAACUGACGCUGAUGCUCGAAAGCGCGGGUAUCGAACAGGAUUAGAUACCCGAGUAGUC